RNAcentral lists this unclassified non-coding RNA (266 nucleotides) under Hevea brasiliensis (rubber tree). The record is from RNAcentral. Lineage: Eukaryota; Viridiplantae; Streptophyta; Magnoliopsida; Malpighiales; Euphorbiaceae.
UGAUGCUGGGGAUGGUGUUGAUGACGCGAAACUUUGUAUUUGAAACUGCAAAUGCUGCAAUCCUUCGUCUCACUAAAGAAAUUUCUUGGAUGGAAGAGGUUCUGGCUGCAGAAUCAUCUCUGAGAACAGGUCCCCCAUCUACUUAUGCUGAUCAAGUGUUUGCAAAUGAGAUGAAUAUUGCAGUCCGAAUGACUGAGAAAAAUUACCGGGAAUACAUGUUUAGAGAAGCUUUGAAAACUGGAUUUUAUGAUUUGCAAGCUGCCAGG